GACGAACGCUGGCGGCGUGCCUAAUACAUGCAAGUUGAGCGCUGAAGGUUGGUACUUGUACCAACUGGAUGAGCAGCGAACGGGUGAGUAACGCGUGGGGAAUCUGCCUUUGAGCGGGGGACAACAUUUGGAAACGAAUGCUAAUACCGCAUAAAAACUUUAAACACAAGUUUUAAGUUUGAAAGAUGCAAUUGCAUCACUCAAAGAUGAUCCCGCGUUGUAUUAGCUAGUUGGUGAGGUAAAGGCUCACCAAGGCGAUGAUACAUAGCCGACCUGAGAGGGGGAUCGGCCACAUUGGGAGUGGGACACGGCCCAAACUCCUACGGGAGGCAGCAGUAGGGAAUCUUCGGCAAUGGACGAAAGUCUGACCGAGCAACGCCGCGUGAGUGAAGAAGGGUGUCGGAUCGUAAAACUCUGUUGGUAGAGAAGAACGUUGGUGAGAGUGGAAAGCUCAUCAAGUGACGGUAACUACCCAGAAAGGGACGGCUAACUACGUG
RNAcentral lists this ribosomal RNA (497 nucleotides) under uncultured bacterium. RNAcentral describes it as "partial 16S ribosomal RNA". It matches the Rfam family "Bacterial small subunit ribosomal RNA", at positions 28 to 507 of the family's 1533-position model. The record is from RNAcentral.